This 11589-nucleotide long non-coding RNA is filed under the name Setaria italica (foxtail millet). RNAcentral describes it as "long non-coding RNA (SITA_LNC007188)". The record is from RNAcentral. Lineage: Eukaryota; Viridiplantae; Streptophyta; Magnoliopsida; Poales; Poaceae.
AGAAAUGCGCUCCACAGGUGCCCUCUUAUUUCACUUAUAUCAGUCGGACGCUCUCAAAAGCGACACGUAACACAGAUUCAGGAGAAACAGCGUUCACCAACACAUGUUCAGUUCAUCGGCAGGUGCUACAACCUUUUUUGGCUUAAUUGAAAUUCUUUUUGUGCUUUCUUCUUCUUCUUCUUCUUGUUUUUUUUUUUAAAAUGCAGCAGCCCGUCGCGCUGUCCAUAUUUCGACCGAUCCGGCGCGAUUCCUUGUUUGCUGUGAACCUGACUUGCUGCAAUGCGAUGUAGGGAGUGUUUGGUUCCUGCCAACGCUUGCCACGCCACAAAAUUCGGCUUUGACGUUUAGCGUGGCAGACUCUGGCUGGAGAGCAAGCAGGCCCGUCAACGUCGCCAGCGACCUCUACGUUUGCCCGUCAAUCUCCGCAGACUGCAGCAACAAGCUUAUCUACUGAGCGAAAGCGAGCACCCCCUCCUGGCUCCCGUUCAUAAGGCACGCCGAGAUCGCCGCCGGCCAUGCUUCGACGACGAUGACAGUGGGAGAAGAUGCCAACGGCGCGGUACGCAGGUAACCAUGCGCACGCCGGCAAACCCGGUGCCACCACUGGCACGGACCAGCUUCAAGAAAGAACAGACGAUGAGACAAUGCACAUCAACCGGCAAGACAGCAACAACCAACAGGCCAAACAGUCUAGCACACCAGAAAUGCGCUCCACAGGUGCCCUCUUAUUUCACUUAUAUCAGUCGGACGCUCUCAAAAGCGACACGUAACACAGAUUCAGGAGAAACAGCGUUCACCAACACAUGUUCAGUUCAUCGGCAGGUGCUACAAGUGCGAACGGCAAACACGCUGAUCAUAGAUGGAUCGGGUGCUCUUAUUUCACAUGUCCAAGGAUGUUCAGACUGGUGUGGUGGUGACAAGGCAGGAGGCGACGCUUUCAGCACUCAAGUCCAGCGACCACUUUCAGCUUCAGCCCUGGAGUCCAAUGAUCCCUGGAAAUGAUAAUACAAUGCAAUGAGAAAUCCAUAUAGUAUAACAAGGAGCAUUUGGUAUUUGUUAUUAUACAGAAAAUGAUGCUUGUUUGGAGGAAGGAAUGGGGCUGGCCAGCUGGGGAAACAGUGAACAUACCACAGGCAAUGCGGCCACCAGCGUUUCCAGUGCUCUUGCUCAGCUCGUGCCCACCUGAACAUACAAACACAAAAACCAACAAUUAUUAAACUCCAUUUAAUGGCACUGGAUAAAACCCACAAACAGAGGCAUCGGUUUGGCAAUCAAAGACAAACAGGCAACACAAUCUGACAAAGUGCACAGACAAGAUGUUUAAAUGAACAAAUGUGCAUAGAUCAGUGACAAGCACCAUACCGCAAGCAAGAUUUCACAAGCAUAAUAUACAAACUUGAAACUCCAGACAAGGUCAAUAGAUCACAGGACAGCCAAAUAGACAACUCAGGUAAGGCACUAUAACCUACUUCCAACUUAUUUGAAGUUCAAAUUCCUUCCUGACAGAGAGAUGCCAAAAGCACUGGGGUUUUCAGGGAAAUCGCAGGACAGUACAAGCAUAGCCAUACCUCAAUUUUUUUUCCUCUGGCGUUUAAUAAUCAGAUAGUUAGGACACUAUUACAUUGUCUUGCUCAUGUCAUCUAUAAAUAGAAAUCUAUACUGAUCUUUCAUAAGUCUAUCUGAACUAAGAACCACUGUGUGCUAAUAGACAGAACCUUAGCUCAAAACAGACUACAACACACAAAAGGCACAAGUGUAAACGAUAAGUAGCAGCAUUACCCUUUCCAAGAUCAUCAGGAUCAGCGUGAACAACAACAGCUCUGCCAAUGAUCGAGUUCGGCCCAGUCAGUGGGAUCUGCCAGGAAAAAAAAUAUCACCGAUGUUAAAGGUAAGUAGAAGGCUAGGGCGACAGGAAUCACAAGGGAAUAUGCUGAAGAAAUGUCUGAUUACCUGGCUGUCGGUAACAUGGAUGUUAGCAACACCUGAAAACAGAGAAAUAAAGUCAGUGACUAAGAAUGGUACAUUCUCUCAUACGUAAGAUGUGAAAUUGUGAAUAGAGUUGCAGACUGCAUCUACAGGAUCAAGAAGUAAUUCAGUUUCCUUAAUGCAAGUAGCCAAGUACCCACUACAUGGGUAUGCAACAGAUGGGAACAAAGAGGAGCAAGAGAUCUUUACCAUCUGCUCCCGCUGUGACAUUUCCGAGAUCUCCAGCAUGGCGGUUGUCAUCUUCUGGUGCUCCAUGCUCCUUGCCCGCAGGAUUGUAAUGCGGUCCUGAAAUAUGAAACAAGUUCACCAAUAAGUAGACAAUUCAACGGUCUAUAACUUGGCACAAAUCCUGAUCACAUGAGCAAAGCCAAAGUAGGAAAGGAAUAAAUACCAGUUGACAUGCAGCCAUUUGUGGUGUCACCAAGUGCAUGCACAUGGAACCCGUGGAGGCCAGGCUUGAGGCCAGAGACACUUCCGGUCACAGUGGUGGGGCCUAAAAAUAGAUCCAACCAUUUAUCAUCAAAAGGCAAGGGCUACAGUUCAACUGAAUGAAACAGAUCAUAGAAUAUGUGAUGACUUGCCAUCUCCCUCUUGGGUGAAGUAGAUGGUGCCCUUGACACCCUCACUGCUACCAAGCACAACAACAGCCUUCACCAUUGUUCAUGUGAUCUGCAAAAAACUCCACAAGUAAAAAGGCAUAUCGGUACAGGUACAAGUAGCCUGAACUAUAAGCAAGCAGUGAGGGAUGUCAGUACAUUUUAGAGGCUACCCCUAAGAUAUAUAGAAUAUGCAUACUCACAUCAUACUAGUGGAGAUUGAAUAUGCUAAAAACAGACAUUAAAUAUGGCUACAUUUGUGGUAUCAAGACAAAUGUAUGGGACAGUUGUCUACUUAGCUUUCAAAACCAUGUAAACCAAGAGGGGGGUCUAUGAUGCACGAUGUUGUAAAUGUCUAUUUCCACUUACUAGAAACCACACAGAUCAGCACAUUCAUUCAAGACAACCAAGAGUUUUUCUGGGAAGAUGGAACAUUUUGGGGUAAAAUGCCUGACUUGUUACAUAUAUAAAAAAACCAACUCUACAAGAAUCACACCUUGCACCAAUGGGUGCAAGUAGUACACACGACAUCAGAUUUUCAGAACAGAAUUUUAAAAAAUAAUUGUGAAGGUAGAGGUGGUUUUGGCUGGUCACCAUGCUAGUCAAUCAUCCCCAAUAUACUGGCCUCCACCCUCGUAUCAACUGACAAAUCAUAGCAGCAUAGAACUAUCUAAAUUUUUGUGACUACUAUAAGCAUACUCCAAGGAAUUUUUUUUUUAAAAAAGAGUACUCCGAGUAGCUAAUGCUACAACGGACUGAAGCCAUGGUGCCAUGACAUCUAAACUUCAAUGGAAGUUUAUUGCAUGAUUCAGACCCACUUUUAACCUCGGUGCAAAUUAUGAUGCCAAAAAAAUUUUAGAAUUGCUCCACCAUGUUCUUGAACCCUAUGGCAUCUAUUUAGAAUCAAGCCUGUCAGGGGUAAAACUGAAGGCUUGUUGAUGAUCCGUUCAUCCAACUAGAACAGGCAAAAAAAAAAAAAUCUACAACCAACACUUCCAUAACAGUCGCAUCAAUCGCAUAAACUACCUUUCCAUGUAUGUAGUCUACACAUGUGCACAGUCCCCAAAGGCCCAAAGCAAUAACAGCGUUGUGCCAGCACACGAACUGAAUAUGUGAUACUAAAUCCUUCCCUUAACAGCAUGAGCUCGUGAUCAUUCAUCGCAGGACAAACAACAAGCUCCAACCUGGGAACUAACAUAACACAUAUCUAUCGCUCAAAGCGCUUAGUCCUGUGAACAAAUUGCCAAAGAAAUGGACCAAAUCAAGCCCCACGGGUGACACCUAGAUGGAAUAGAUCACUCGCACAAAGAUCGACCGAUAGCAUGUAAGAUCUGUCUCGACGAUCCAUCGGAAGCUAACGGAAGCGGAAAGGGGGAAACCCCAAAUCGAAAGAGGAACCGCACCAACGAUCUGAGAUCCGACCGCGACUGCUUCCACGGAAUCGGAGACCGGAGUAGAUUACGCGGAGCAACAGCACAGUGAGGCGAUCGAAACCCCCAAAAUCGUGGGGUUUUGGUCAAGCAGCAUACCUCAGGCGACCCCCGCGGCGAGGAAGGAAGGGAUGGGAAGGCGACGGCUUGGAGUCUUGCGCUUCUGGAAGGUUCCCGGGCGGGGCGGGGUUGCUGGACCGGGGGGUAGUUGGAUGCUGGGGUGAGGAGGAGGAUGGGCGCGUGUGCUGGAUUUGUAGGCGCAGCCGGACCGAGGAGUCAAGUUGCGUUGCUAUUCCGCAACUGUCAGCUGCCAAUAAGAUACUAUUAGUGAUAAUUAAUCUUUUUUGCCACUAGCCUCACCUAUAAAUUGCUGUGAAUUUUACAGGAGCGGUAUAAACCUUUUGGUUAUGUAAAACUACAUUCUUUGUUUUUUUAUCAGCUUCUGUACUUGUAAUUUCAAAGCUAUAAAUGGUAUUUACUCUUUCCUAGCGAAUAUAAAUUGCACUUGUUCACGAAUACAACGGAUAGAAUACAUCUCGUCAAGUGCUAUAAAAUUAAACAUCUUGAAUGUGAGCUAUAUAGUUCGACUAGUAGUUAGUUAAAUUUUGCAAAGUAAAAAUUUCAAAUUAAAGUAAACUUCAAGAGUAAGAUGGCAUGUGACUUGUUUGUGUUUAAUCGGAUGCAUGUUAACGACAUUAUUUCUGGAGAAGAAGAUGGAGAAAUAGUCUUUCGAGGAAUUGUUUGGAUACUGGAGCAGGGGACUGAAGUUUCACAGUAGUUUUUGUUUUUUGGUUGCCUGGUUGGUAGGUUUUACGAUUGGGCUCCUAGGGGAAUGGAAACUACAAGUGAGGGCCACGGUAACGGGCCUACAUGCAGUGGGCCUUCCCGCACUGAGAAGCAGACCCGGCCUUCGUUUUCAGGCCCAUGGAAUAGAAUCAGCCCAGUCGCGCGCCAGCAGUUUUUAUUUUCUUUUUUUUUCUUCACCAAACAACUCCGUCGAAACCACCCUCGUAGGCACAUACGAGUACCUGUGCUAUAAUAAUGUAAAUUAUUGGAAUAAUUCGUGUAUAUAAUAUAACAUGAUGAUUAUGUAUUUCCCUCCAUCUUAUUUUGGUGUUUCGAAGUUAUGUAUUGAGAUGGAGUAUACAUUAUGCCUAAAAAUGGUAAAACGAUGUAGAAUUUGAGGUGGGACGGAGCAAGUACAAGUUUCCCUCAACCUCUACGUGUCAUGUGAUCGUGGAAUGUGAUUGUGGAAUUUUGUAGAAACACAUGCUCCUUUGAGCUCAGAUCGCUCGUUGCCUUCCGUAGUUCCGUGCCCGAACUGCAAAGGAGCCGCCCUCGUAGCUCCAUCGAAUUCCUUGGGAUGCUCGAGGGCCAUACUGAUCCACAGACCACACCAUCUAUCAUCCCCACAUCUCCAAAUAGUAGCUCCUCUACCAAUGUGCUCCUUUUUAUCCACAUAUGAUGCAAGCAAAGCAGUGUAGCGGCAUGUAUGCAUUUAGGAGCUGUACAUCACAAAUGUGUUUAAUUUGGAAGGUAGAAUUUUAUUUGCCCCUGCAUUGCGUUGUAUCGUGGGCACAUAGAAAGUAAAUUAAAGUUGCUUUGUGUAGAAAUAGAACAGUGGAUCGGUUGCAUCAUUGAUCACAGCGACACAGCAAUGGAAUUAAAGUGAGGAGUGGAAGGAGUCAGGGGUGGAAAUAACUUUUCGCAUUAGUCUCAAUGCUAGCAUAUCAAUAUAAGGAUGAGUUUGAUCCAGAAACAAAAGUUAAGUGAUUAGAUUGACCAACCUAAAUUUAGAGACGAACUUGACCAUUAUUUUAAAUUGAGGGCAGUGGCUACUUAGCUAUGCCUGCAGAUAUGAUAUGAUCUGAAUAUCUGAAUGCACACGUCUAUCCAUCCAGUCGCCGAAACUGCAGUGUCGUCACGGGUCAGCAGCAAAACAGAUACCAGGAUUUGCAAGACCAGCGCGGGAUGACAGAUGAUUGGCCUCUUCCUUUUUCCGUCCUGCGUUCUCACCGGACCGUUGCUGCUAGUAGUUGACUAGUUGCCGCAUCUCUCCUGUUCCUUUUUUUUCACGGCCAAGUAUAAAUUAUAGGUGCUAGAUAAGGACAUGAGGCACAUAAUAUUUAGUACAUUAGUUAUGAAUUUGACGAGUUUAAGAGCAUGUUUCGGUCCAUGUAGUUAGAGUUAUUCGGUGCCGGGUCCAGAACUUAGAGGAUGAGGUUCAUUUUUCCUUUUUUUUUCCUUCUUCCUCCUUUCUCUUAUUCCCCUCCCUUUCUUCCUCCUCCUCUCCAUCCAUAACUGAGGGAGGGGAGGGGUGAUCUAGGCCUGGUUUGGUUCCUCCUACUUAUUUUUAGCACCCGUCACAUCGAAUGUUUAGAUACUAACNNNNNNNNNNNNNNNNNNNNNNNNNNNNNNNNNNNNNNNNNNNNNNNNNNNNNNNNNNNNNNNNNNNNNNNNNNNNNNNNNNNNNNNNNNNNNNNNNNNNGUUUAAAUACUCCUAAUUAGUAUCUAAACAUUCGAUGUGACACGUGCUAAAAAUAAGCAAAGGGAACCAAAUGCCCUGAAUUAGAUAGGUUUAACUACCUUCCAACUAACAACUAUCCAGCUAGCUACCUUCAUAAAGCUAAAGUCCCAUAUUUGGAUCCACGGGGCAAACUUUAGUCUGCUAGAAUCAACCAUUGGUGAUCCAAAUAGGGAGGACUAAAAAUUAACCAUUCUUAAGUUUACUCUAACCCCAACUAAUAAGAGCUAAUUUUAAACAUAAAUGGCAAAAAGAAAACAGAAUACCCUCCCAUAAAAAAUCUUAUCAUUUUUUUCUCCCUUACCCCUCAAGGAUAUAAUGGCCCUUUCACCAGGCGUGCUGAAUUUUCAUGGGAAUCAACUGGGAUACCUCCCUAGAAUCUGGGCAGAUGAUCCUCAAUGCCAUACAAGAUUUUGGUAAGAUCAUUUUCAGGGAAAUUGUUAUCGUAGCUUCCUGGACAAUUUGGUGUCACAGAAACAAUAUAAUCUUUGAUGGUGCUUCUCUCUCAUUGGCAGCCUGGAGAAGCUUUUUGGAGAAGGAAAUGAAGCUGGCCACUUUAAAGUUAAACCAGCCACUUGAGAUAGGAUCAUUAUUUGGUUGAGUAGUCUUUAAAUUCCCUCCUUUUUUCAAUUUUUAGGCUUAAUGCCUAUGUAACUCUCUUGUACAUAAACUCGUUUUAUAUAAAAAAGAGGUAGGGACUCCCUGCUGAUUCGCUUAAAAAAAGAUAUAAUGACCUUAGAUCAAUGAAUGAACUAAAAAUUAGCUCUGAUUUCAAACAUGAUAGACCAAUUUUAGCCAGCUAAAAUUUAGACAUCUAAACUUUAUUCAGAAUUAAUAGUGACGGGUCCAUAGACCUGGGUCCCUAAUGGGCCCACUUUUCCACAACGCUCGGCCCAACAGGCGGCGCAGCAACAAUGUGCGCCUGGGUCAGCCCAGAUACGUGACACCAGUCCGUGACUAUGAUCUGGCCACCGACCGGCACCCCCGACUAGGAGGCCUGGUCGGGGCUAGGACUACAACCCGACUCCGGCAAAGUUCCCUCAACUGGCGAUGUGCCCUUGGUCGGACCGGCGCACAUCGAUCCCUCCCGACCGACACGGUCAGGACCGAUCGGGGACGCCCGCUCGGUAUGGGCCUGGGGAGCAGGUGGAACGAAUAAAGGAAGAUGCUCAGGUCAACAGCCGUACAGAGGACUGUAGCUUGCCACGCCCUGCACACGCAAUGCACAGUGCCGCCCCGCCAUGCUAGGCGGACACUAUGAUACCUAUCCGUCACGACGGAGUGACGAGAUGAGAUGAACAGGGAUGGAGGGCGAUGGCCAUCCCGUACCCGACGACGUGGGUACUGACAAGAUUAGGCAGCGCCCAUGCACCUUUUCUCUCUCUCUCUCUCUCUAACUUGUAAGGCCGUCCCCUUGAACUAUAAAGGGGGCGCUCUCUCUCUAUCACAGGACUCUCUGGCUCAUACGCACUCGAACACUCUCUCCAACACUUAGCGCACAUUCGAGCUCCCAUCACUCUCCUCCACUUGGACCAAAUAAUGACUGGGCCGUGAACACCCCCUUCUCCACUCCUCGCUCAUUUGUACCCCCACUGCAAACUUUGAGCACCUGAGCUCAGGAAUACAAUUGACCGAUUGACCCCUGAUUGGACGUAGGGCCCGUUGCCCGAACCAGUAUAAAUCCUGAGUCAUUGUGUGCUUGGCCAUAUCCGAUCUAACGCGUGGCAAACUACGUACAUUCACCUGUCGGCCAUAUUCCGCACCAACAGUUUGGCGCCAUAUGUGGGAACCCGCCUUGCGUUCGCGUCUUCGGUCAUCAGAUGGCUCACCUUCCCGCCAUUCUCAGCAUGGCGAGCUCGAGUGAUACGAUUCUCUUGGGCUCGCUGGAGUUCCCCACGCCCCCGCUUGGUGUAACGCCCGCAGAAAUCACCAACUAAAACCACCCGUUAAAAACUGCCUUUAAAAUCUUUUUACCGCUGAGCUCCCGGAAAUCGGAAACCUCCCCGGCGAUUUCGCCGUCCCGGUACCCAUGCCGACCCCCACCUGCCUUUUUAUCCGUGCCCGUAAAUCUCGCCGCAUGCCGUAUCAGACGCCGCGCGCGUGCUCCGACCGCGUGCCGCGAUCGCCACCGGUCCCUCUCUUUUUCUUUCUCUUUUCCCCUCCCCUUUUUCCUUUUCUUUUUCCUUCCUCCUUCUUCCUCUUUCUUCUUUCUUCCUUCUUCCUUCUUCUCUCUCCUUCUCUUCCUUCUUCCUGGCGCCACCCGUCCGGCCCCAGCUCCUUAACUCCCCGGCGCUACUAGCGCCACUCCGCCCGGCCUCGCGCGCCAGGGGCACGCCGCCCGGCCUCGCACGCCAGGGGCCUGCCGCCCGGCUAGCGCCACCACGCCGCCCCCUCGGGCCGUGCGCCCGACCCGGCCCCGGGUCGCCUGCGCCGCCGCUCUGGCGUCCGGCCACCCCGGCCCCGCGCGCCAUCCCUUCCACGCCGGCCUUUUCGGCCCCGCGCCACACCUCCCGCUGCCGGCCCCUACCCCCCAUCUCUCGCUCGGCACGGCACCGGUGCCGUGCCGGCCAUCGCCGGCCGCCGCCCGGACCCCCACCUCCCGCAUGCCUUGGACCCGCCCUCGCCGGCCUAUAAAAAGGGGGCGAACGCCCCGGCCACCACCACCACAACCCACUGCAUUCCCCUCCCCGUCACCAGCACAACCGCCGCCGCCGCCGCAUCCUUGCCGCCGCCGCCGCAUUCCUGCCGCCGCCACCUCCCGCACGGGCGCCGGUGCCCCGCCCCCCUCCUCCGACGACACCGCCCGAGGUGAGGCAAAAUAGGGCCUCCACCCCAUCCUCCGCCGCCCCGGCCCUCGGCCGUCGCCGGCGCAGCCCGGCCGGCCGGCCGCCGCCGCACACCCCCAUUCCUCACCUUCUCUCUUUCUUCCUGGAAGAAGAAAGGGAAGAUUUCCCAAAAUUUUGAUCUAACCCUCACUUCCUCCUAAAUUACGAGCAGGUCCUCCCACCACUCUCAUAAAGCUAUUCGCGGAUAAGCCCCUCCACCUCCAAAAUUAUUUACAAAUAGGUCCCUGGUUACUAUAAAUCAGCCCUUAAGCCUCCAUUUAAGCCCCUAAUCCAUGUUUAACCCGUCAUUUCAUGCGCCAAACUCCCUCCAAUUAAUCCCAAAUUUUACCACGUCAUCCUCCAGAAUACUUUCGCCGAUCUAUAUCCAAAUUUCCCAAAAAUAAUCCUUCUACCUAUUUUCCGUUCACAUUUUCUGUUCGGAGCUCACGGUUAAAAAUCGUUUCCUCUUUUAUUUAUUUGUGUGUCUGUUUGUGUGUGCCGUAGAUCGCGGGUUGACCGAGGAGGAGCCCGAGGAAGAGUUUGACCGCGAGCCCGAGCCCGAGGACCAGUACCGCGAGCCGGAACUCCCGGAAGGCUUUGAAGACGGCAAGUCCAAUCUCACCCUUUGAUGCAUACUUAAUACCUAGUUUUUUUCAAGCACAACCUAUUGGCCUGUUUUACAAAAUGCAUAUUAUUUUAUCGCAAGACAUGGUUGGAUAGCCACCCCUUGAUUGCUAUGAACCUUCCUUGUUGUCCUAUGCUUAUCUCUAAAUAUGACUCGCUCUGUUUAGAUGAUAGCCACUGCUAGAACGCUUAGGAAUUUGUUACUCAACUGCAACCAUUAUUACAAUAGCGUAUUCGGAAAAUAAAUGUGUGUGUGUGUCCAAGUAAGAGAAAUGGCUUUUGGGUUCGGGAAAAGAGGAUGUGUAGACGGGAUGGAUGGGUGUUCCUUGUGUGGAAUGCCCUGUUGUUGUGCUCGUACCUUGGUGGUUGAGCAAUGUCGGGAGAUAUCCAUCUUGUCAUGAUUAAGGACCGAGUUGAUGUGUCAUCUUGCCUAAUUCCCCUAUCGUGCAACCACUCGACCGUUGUAUGGGCAACGGCUUAGCAUAAAUCCCACUAGCUGGAUGGUUAGUCCUCAGGGGUGCUGGUGAGCAACAGAGCCCAUGAAAAAGGAGUAAGAUCUCCAAGACUUAGGUCCCGGUUACGGUCUCAUGGAUGAGCCGUGAACCCCUUGGUGCUUCCGCGGGAGCUAGCCCAUCUUAGCUAAGGUGGGUAAUGGCUUAGUUAGGAUCCGUACCGUCACCAAGGUGAUCGUGCUACGGUACCCUACUUGUGGGAAAAGUGUACACCCUCUGCAGAGUUAAAACCUAUCCGGGUAGCCGUGUCCACGGCAUUGGACGAGUUACGGCUUGGUCACAUAACUAGCAAUUGGGCAAGGUUGUCAUGUGUGUGUGUGGGGGGGGGGGAUUUUGGAAGAGUCCGGCAGUUGUGCCGUGCGCUAUGACGGACGGGGAGUCCGAUAGCGAUAAAAACUUGGAUCCUUGUGUAGGAUCAACCCCACUCAAUGUUCUGGGUAUUAAAGGAAAACUUUACGAAAACCCCUUUUGGAACAACCCCCUGCAUGUGUUAAAAUCUAGCUUUUUCGCAAAUAAACCCUAGCCUAUCCCUGUUAUACUUGUGCAUAAACAUGCUUGUAUCCCCUUCGUGGAUGGGGUUGGACAUGUUGAGUACGUUAGUACUCACCCUUGCUUCAUUGCUACAGAGGAGGACCCCGACUUCUUCGCCCAUGGACCCUGAAUAGAGGUUGUGUCCGCACCCUACGCUCCCUGUGGUGUUGGCCUGCCCAAGAUGCUGCUGCUGCCGUGUAGUCCCGAGUGCUGUCUUUUGGCAGUCGCUUGGUUAGCCGCCGUUAUUUAUUUACUCUUUAUCGCUGCGUGGCUUUCACGCACACUCCCUCGGGAGUUGUACGGUAACUGAAUUAUCUGUCGAAUAAAUGUGUUAUCAGCCUCCUGGGACUGAUAUUUGUAUCACAUUUAGUCUCUACUUAUGUGGGGACGCUUCACUUGGCGGAUCCUCAUGCGGAGGCCCUGGCGUGUGCACAGCCGCAUGGUGACGAGUUGCGACAGCGGAGGCUGAGCUGGCAGCCACCUGCGUCGGCGUGCCCCACGCAGCGCUUUGAGCCGCGCGCGCGCAACCCGACGGGCAGCGCUCGAGGCCACGCCUGCCAG